Molecule: small RNA, 113 nt
Filed under: Flavobacterium sp. 9
Lineage: Bacteria; Pseudomonadati; Bacteroidota; Flavobacteriia; Flavobacteriales; Flavobacteriaceae
Description: Flavo-1 RNA
Rfam family: Flavo-1 RNA
Source: RNAcentral
UAUUACCUCAGAGUGCGUUAGGGAUAGAAGCGAUAUCCUUUUGUGAUAACCUGCACUUCUUAUUUUCUACAAAACCGCUAUCACAAAAGAUUUAGCGGAUAGCCCGACCCGGA